CCUACGGGUGGCAGCAGUGAGGAAUAUUGGUCAAUGGCCGGAAGGCUGAACCAGCCAUGCCGCGUGAAGGUCAGUGCCCUAUGGGCGUUAAACUUCUUUUGUGCGGGAGCAAUAAUGGUCACGUGUGGCCAGACGAGAGUACCGUACGAAUAAGCAUCGGCUAACACCGUACCAGCAGCCGCGGUAAUACGGGGGAUGCAAGCGUUAUCCGGAUUUAUUGGGUUUAAAGGGUGCGUAGGCUGUGAGGUAAGUCAGCGGUGAAAUGCCCCCGCUCAACGGGGUGAAGUGCCAUUGAUACUGCCUGGCUGGAAUACGGAUGCCGUGGGAGGAAUGUGUGGUGUAGCGGUGAAAUGCAUAGAUAUCACACAGAACACCGAUUGCGAAGGCAUCUCACGAAUCCGCGAUUGACGCUGAUGCACGAAAGCGUGGGUAUCAAACAGGAUUAGAUACCCUAGUAGUC
This 460-nucleotide ribosomal RNA is filed under the name uncultured bacterium. RNAcentral describes it as "partial 16S ribosomal RNA". It matches the Rfam family "Bacterial small subunit ribosomal RNA", at positions 338 to 795 of the family's 1533-position model. The record is from RNAcentral.